RNAcentral lists this long non-coding RNA (561 nucleotides) under Brassica napus (rape). Its description in RNAcentral is "long non-coding RNA (BNAP_LNC021239)". Lineage: Eukaryota; Viridiplantae; Streptophyta; Magnoliopsida; Brassicales; Brassicaceae. The record is from RNAcentral.
GACUCCACAUGCUUAUACAUUUCGAAAACCCUUGUUGCUCUCUCUAUAUAUACUUGUAAACCUCAUCAGUUAUUAAUUAAUGGAGUUUUGAGUAUUCUCUCUCUACUUAUUCUCUUAAUCUCUUUAAUCUUACACAAAACAGUAUGAUUGUUCUUAAGCUUGUUUAGAAACACUCUAAUACACAAAAGUGUAUAUGGUAUCAGAGCCAGGUUGCUGUAAAAGGAGAGAGUGAUUUCGUUUUUCUUGAGUGUUCUUUAGUGUUCUUGAGAGUUCUUGAGAUUUUUCAAGAGCUAGAUCCUUUAAAAUUCGAGUUUGUGUCUGUUGGUGUUUCUUUUGGAGAGUCAGCUUCAAGGGAGUCCUUUUAGGUGUUUGACAAGGUCAGAAGAGGGGUCUAGCUUGUGGUUAAGCUUAGCGUGGGAGAUUAGAAGCAUUUGAGGGAAGAUCUAGGCUAAAGAAGAUGGAGCUGCUUCAAUCUGGUACAACAAGGUGUGAAGAGAAGAAAGAGAGAGGGAUUGAGUGGGGGUGGUUCUCACAAAUGAAAACAACUCUGAAAAGGUGUGG